AACGUAGGACGCAAGCGUUAUCCGGAGUUACUGGGCGUAAAGCGCGGGCAGGCGGCCUCGCAAGUCUGAUGUGAAAGCACUCUGCUCAACAGAGUGAUGCCAUUGGAAACUACAAGGCUGGAGUCUGGCAGAGGUAGGCGGAAUUCCGGGUGGAGUGGUGAAAUGCGUAGAUAUCAAGAGGAACACCAGUGGCGAAGGCGAGUCCCUGGACAAUUCCUGACACUGAGGCACGAAAGCUAGGGGAGCAAACAGG
RNAcentral lists this ribosomal RNA (253 nucleotides) under uncultured bacterium. RNAcentral describes it as "partial 16S ribosomal RNA". It matches the Rfam family "Bacterial small subunit ribosomal RNA", at positions 524 to 776 of the family's 1533-position model. The record is from RNAcentral.